RNAcentral lists this ribosomal RNA (696 nucleotides) under uncultured bacterium. RNAcentral describes it as "bacterial SSU rRNA". It matches the Rfam family "Bacterial small subunit ribosomal RNA", at positions 9 to 694 of the family's 1533-position model. The record is from RNAcentral.
GAGUUUGAUCCUGGCUCAGAUUGAACGCUGGCGGCAGGCCUAACACAUGCAAGUCGAACGGUAACAGGAAACAGCUUGCUGUUUCGCUGACGAGUGGCGGACGGGUGAGUAAUGUCUGGGAAACUGCCUGAUGGAGGGGGAUAACUACUGGAAACGGUAGCUAAUACCGCAUAACGUCGCAAGACCAAAGAGGGGGACCUUCGGGCCUCUUGCCAUCGGAUGUGCCCAGAUGGGAUUAGCUAGUAGGUGGGGUAAUGGCUCACCUAGGCGACGAUCCCUAGCUGGUCUGAGAGGAUGACCAGCCACACUGGAACUGAGACACGGUCCAGACUCCUACGGGAGGCAGCAGUGGGGAAUAUUGCACAAUGGGCGCAAGCCUGAUGCAGCCAUGCCGCGUGUAUGAAGAAGGCCUUCGGGUUGUAAAGUACUUUCAGCGGGGAGGAAGGGAGUAAAGUUAAUACCUUUGCUCAUUGACGUUACCCGCAGAAGAAGCACCGGCUAACUCCGUGCCAGCAGCCGCGGUAAUACGGAGGGUGCAAGCGUUAAUCGGAAUUACUGGGCGUAAAGCGCACGCAGGCGGUUUGUUAAGUCAGAUGUGAAAUCCCCGGGCUCAACCUGGGAACUGCAUCUGAUACUGGCAAGCUUGAGUCUCGUAGAGGGGGGUAGAAUUCCAGGUGUAGCGGUGAAAUGCGUAGA